Molecule: long non-coding RNA, 1002 nt
Organism: Acipenser ruthenus (sterlet)
Lineage: Eukaryota; Metazoa; Chordata; Actinopteri; Acipenseriformes; Acipenseridae
Exons: 3
Source: RefSeq, a predicted model, not a curated record
AUAAAGAUUCUUGGAACCAGAAGUAACAGAGCACGGAUAUCGGGAGGAAGACCAGGCACCAGGCACCAGGCACCCGGCACCCUGGAUAACACAGCACGAGAGCGAGAGAAACAAAUAACAUGCAGGAGCCCUGUUUCCCCCCCUCCUUCCGUUGACAACACAGUGCCUGGAGAAAGAGGAUACCAGCGGGAGGGGAAGAGAGAGCGAGAGGGAACCCAGACGGAGGAGGCCAGCAUCACUCAGGCUGCCCCUCACAAGGCUAACCACACUCCCCCCGCAGGUGGUGUCGCUGCAACGUUGUCGACGGAGGGGAGUUGGUCCGCUGUCGUUACAGGAACUGGACUAAGGCCGAAUCGGGGAGGAGGAAAUCAGAAGUCUUGCGAAGAGGAUGUUUGGUGCGAGACUUUGUGUAGUGGCGAUUGUCACUUAUGUGACUAUAAUAACUUUGUGUUUGUCUGUCGCAACAAAUACUACCCCUACACAGGGUAGGGGGACAAUUGGUGCACUGCUGGUGUGAAUUAAUUUUUUAGCAAGUUUUAGAAAAGUUUAACUGUUCUUUCUUUAUUUUUGUGUGGUGAUUUUGGCUGUGACAACAUUGCUGUGAUUAUUCAUUUUACCAUAGUUUUUAGAACUAUUUGCUGUGUAGUUGCUGUGCUGUGUGUUCUAGUGUUCUGUGCUAUUAAUUUUAUUUUUGAUAAUUACCUUGGCCGUUGUAUCUGUUCAUCCUGGUUGGGGUUGAGGGUGGUCCACUGGAAUUCAAAAUCAGCCUGCACAGGAAAGAAAGGCAAAGGGUUAGUCAUUAGGGCUAACAGAGUUAUACACUUACCUGAGCUACCUGUAACAUUUACACGGAGGACUAUUGCUUACUGAGAUUAAUGUGCCAGUUAAUGUUAUUUUGGUAUUAACCUUCUUUUAUCAUAUUUUAGUCACAACUUUUGACAACAUUUAUAAAAUAUAUAACAGUGCUGUGUGUUUUAUUGUGCAAUUGUUUGUCCCGAUCUU